GAUGAACGCUGGCGGCGUGCCUAAUACAUGCCAGUCGAGCGAACAGACGAGGAGCUUGCUCCUCUGACGUUAGCGGCGGACGGGUGAGUAACACGUGUAUAACCUACCUAUAAGACUGGGAUAACUUCGGGAAACCGGAGCUAAUACCGUAUAAUAUAUUGAACCGCAUGGUUCAAUAGUGAAAGACGGUUUUGCUGUCACUUAUCGAUGGAUCCGCGCCGCAUUAGCUAGUUGGUAAGGUAACGGCUUACCAAGGCAACGAUGCGUAGCCGACCUGAGGGGGUGAUCGGCCACACUGGAACUGAGACACGGUCCAGACUCCUACGGGAGGCAGCAGUAGGGAAUCUUCCGCAAUGGGCGAAAGCCUGACGGAGCAACGCCGCGUGAGUGAUGAAGGUCUUCGGAUCGUAAAACUCUGUUAUUAGGGAAGAACAAAUGUGUAAGUAACUAUGCACGUCUUGACGGUACCUAAUCAGAAAGCCACGGCUAACUACGUG
RNAcentral lists this ribosomal RNA (497 nucleotides) under uncultured bacterium. Its description in RNAcentral is "partial 16S ribosomal RNA". It matches the Rfam family "Bacterial small subunit ribosomal RNA", at positions 28 to 507 of the family's 1533-position model. The record is from RNAcentral.